AUUGAACGCUGGCGGCAUGCCUUACACAUGCAAGUCGAACGGCAGCACGGGAGCAAUCCUGGUGGCGAGUGGCGAACGGGUGAGUAAAGUAUCGGAACGUGCCCAGUCGUGGGGGAUAACGUAGCGAAAGUUACGCUAAUACCGCAUACGAUCUAUGGAUGAAAGCGGGGGAUCGCAAGACCUCGCGCGAUUGGAGCGGCUGAUAUCAGAUUAGGUAUUUGGUGGGGUAAAGGCUCACCAAGCCGACGAUCUGUAGCUGGUCUGAGAGGACGACCAGCCACACUGGGACUGAGACACGGCCCAGACUCCUACGGGAGGCAGCAGUGGGGAAUUUUGGACAAUGGGCGAAAGCCUGAUCCAGCCAUGCCGCGUGCAGGAUGAAGGCCUUCGGGUUGUAAACUGCUUUUGUACGGAACGAAAAGGUUUGGGCUAAUAAGCUGAGCUCAUGACGGUACCGUAAGAAUAAGCACCGGCUAACUACGUGCCAGCCGCCGCCGUAA
Molecule: ribosomal RNA, 500 nt
Filed under: uncultured bacterium
Lineage: Bacteria
Description: partial 16S ribosomal RNA
Rfam family: Bacterial small subunit ribosomal RNA
Source: RNAcentral